RNAcentral lists this long non-coding RNA (1169 nucleotides) under Scophthalmus maximus (turbot). RNAcentral's name for it is "lncRNA (ENSSMAG00000035741.1)". Lineage: Eukaryota; Metazoa; Chordata; Actinopteri; Pleuronectiformes; Scophthalmidae. The record is from RNAcentral.
GAACAAACAAAAAGAGCCUCCUCUUGUUAUUUCUCUCUGAUUGCUGGCUGGAGCGGUUCCAGUCUCAGGUCAAGCCCGUGGAAUGAGUCUGUCAGGUAGUCUGUUAUGUUUCCUACUUCCUCCCCUGCCGUCAUGUCACUUCCCUGGGCAAACAAACAACUUGGCGGUCCAAAACUCAACACACCGACCGCCAAGGUUACAACGUAAAAGGCUCAGUGUGUGUGGACGGCGCCCAGGGCUUGCACAGCUGCGUAAAGUAUUAUCCAUUUGCUGGGACUGAGGCAGAGUGUGGGGUGGCGGGCAGGCGUGUACGGCGCCGGACGAAGAAUGGACCAGACUCGCCGAGGGACGGGUGCCAUGUGGCAGAGGAUGUGCGGGGACACAGAUGGGGACCCCUGGAAAACUUGGGGGACCGCGCGAGCGGCCAAGGGCCUCCCAUCAGUACCUGCGCUGUGAAUGCUGCAGCUGAACACGGAUCCGGCACCUGUUCUAAGCAGAUACAGGCGGCAGGCAAAGGAGUUGAGGGAGGCCAGCACACACGGCUGCCAACCCAGGGAAGGAGAAGGCUAGAUUUCCAUUUACCCAUAAGCGCACCCUGAUUACUAAACCAGCACAGACAGAAAAGCUGGUGCCCUGCUGCAGAAUGCAGUUGUUCUUUUUUCAGAUGCAGGAGCAUUUUAGUAAACUCCCCAUAAAAAACAUUUCAAUAAGAGCUUUCUGGUUGUGUAUUCAUUUUUAAAAAGUCUGGAAAACUUGGGUUUAGAAAUUCAAACAACCUUUUUAGGCUGAUUUAUAAUUUUUUUUAGAUAAGCAAAUCAAAAUCGCAGUGCAUUUCCUAUUGUCACAGCCUAACCUCCUGCGAUUGCUCUCGCUCUCUCUCAGAUAGCAUAUAGCUCACACGGGUCCCCACUAUGUUCGCUGCGGCGCUACUUGGUUUGUUUUUGACUGCUGUAGAUUCUCCCAGGGGUGGCGUAACUCUUCACCUCGAUGUGGAGGAGGAUGUUCCUAUUGUGCUUCCUAAUUGCAAUGUGGUUGUUCCAUUUAAGAGAUAGAACGUCCUUAUCUGUUCCGUGUGCGAUCUCGUAUUAUGUGGGAAUAUCCCUGCGAGAGCCAUUGUGUCUAUUUUGAUGAAGAUUUUUAAAUUGAGCUAAUUACAACUUUGAUGUAAU